This 214-nucleotide long non-coding RNA is filed under the name Hordeum vulgare. RNAcentral describes it as "long non-coding RNA (HVUL_LNC021654)". The record is from RNAcentral. Lineage: Eukaryota; Viridiplantae; Streptophyta; Magnoliopsida; Poales; Poaceae.
CAACAACAACACCCACAACAAAAACAACAACAACAACAACAACAACAACAACAACAACCACACCCACAACAACAACAACAACAACAACAACAACAUCAACAGCAACAACAACAACAACAACAACAACAACAACAAGAACAACAACAACGACGACGACAACAACAACAACGACAACAACAACAAUAACAACAACAACGACGACAACAGUGACAAC